ACAUGCAAGUCGAACGAUGAAGCCCUUCGGGGUGGAUUAGUGGCGAACGGGUGAGUAACACGUGGGCAAUCUGCCCUUCACUCUCGGACAAGCCCUGGAAACGGGGUCUAAUACCGGAUAAUACUUCCACUCUCCUGGGUGGUUGUUGAAAGCUCCGGCGGUGAAGGAUGAGCCCGCGGCCUAUCAGCUUGUUGGUGAGGUAAUGGCUCACCAAGGCGACGACGGGUAGCCGGCCUGAGAGGGCGACCGGCCACACUGGGACUGAGACACGGCCCAGACUCCUACGGGAGGCAGCAGUGGGGAAUAUUGCACAAUGGGCGAAAGCCUGAUGCAGCGACGCCGCGUGAGGGAUGACGGCCUUCGGGUUGUAAACCUCUUUCAGCAGGGAAGAAGCGAAAGUGACGGUACCUGCAGAAGAAGCGCCGGCUAACUACGUGCCAGCAGCCGCGGUAAUACGUAGGGCGCAAGCGUUGUCCGGAAUUAUUGGGCGUAAAGAGCUCGUAGGCGGCUUGUCACGUCGGGUGUGAAAGCCCGGGGCUUAACCCCGGGUCUGCAUUCGAUACGGGCUAGCUAGAGUGUGGUAGGGGAGAUCGGAAUUCCUGGUGUAGCGGUGAAAUGCGCAGAUAUCAGGAGGAACACCGGUGGCGAAGGCGGAUCUCUGGGCCAUUACUGACGCUGAGGAGCGAAAGCGUGGGGAGCGAACAGGAUUAGAUACCCUGGUAGUCCACGCCGUAAACGGUGGGAACUAGGUG
Molecule: ribosomal RNA, 752 nt
Filed under: Streptomyces sp.
Lineage: Bacteria; Bacillati; Actinomycetota; Actinomycetes; Kitasatosporales; Streptomycetaceae
Description: bacterial SSU rRNA
Rfam family: Bacterial small subunit ribosomal RNA
Source: RNAcentral